Molecule: long non-coding RNA, 334 nt
Organism: Hemicordylus capensis (graceful crag lizard)
Lineage: Eukaryota; Metazoa; Chordata; Lepidosauria; Squamata; Cordylidae
Exons: 2
Source: RefSeq, a predicted model, not a curated record
CAGUGAUAAACAUUAGGACUGAACAUAUGUUCACCCUUUCCAUUUUGAAGGCAUAAAAGCAGCACACCAGGAAAGGAGAAAAGAAUAUGUCCGAGAACAUGCCCUAUCUCAUGAUGAGAACACUUAACAUUAUUUCAGGCACUUCAUCAACUGACAAAAGAAAAACCUCAGUAGGUACGCCUCUUCAAAAAUCUGGGACAACUUGCAUGUAAUUUCAAGAAGCAGCAGGGAUACCCAGCUGGAGAAAAAUAAUAAUAAAAUGGCUUCCUGUAAUUGAAAAAUGUUUGAAAGCUUUCUUUCCCCCCGUGUGAUUAAAUGAAAUUUGUUACUUGAA